This is a long non-coding RNA of Nothoprocta perdicaria, 168 nucleotides long. RefSeq lists it as uncharacterized. The transcript has 2 exons. The record is from RefSeq and is a predicted model, not a curated record. Lineage: Eukaryota; Metazoa; Chordata; Aves; Tinamiformes; Tinamidae.
UUUUUUUUCCUGUUGUUACACAUUUAAAGUCUAAAGAUUUAGAAGUGAUUCCUGCAAACAUAAAUCCACUGUAGCAUCGUUCAGCACCAGAGUAUUCUAAUCAAGGAGAAAUGAUGUGGCCCAUUAGAACUGUGUGACAUUUCUGCAUGCUCUGAUUAUAAAAAUUGC